RNAcentral lists this long non-coding RNA (414 nucleotides) under Ananas comosus (pineapple). Its description in RNAcentral is "long non-coding RNA (ACOM_LNC027424)". The record is from RNAcentral. Lineage: Eukaryota; Viridiplantae; Streptophyta; Magnoliopsida; Poales; Bromeliaceae.
GUAAUGAGAUAUUGUUGAGACAGUUUGAUAAGUUGUGUUAGUUCUAUGCCUCAUUUUGGGGGUGAUUUUAUUGGGGAACUUCGUAAUGAGAUAUUGUUGAGACAGUUUGAUAAGUUGUGUUAUAUAUAUAUAUAUAUAAUUGAGCUCCUAUGCUUUUAAAAGUAUCAAGUCAUUGAUGCUUGUAAGUUUUUAACCCUUGGAUUAAGGGAUAUGCGGUUAAGAUGAUGUAGGGUCUUUAGGGUUGAGUGGGUGGUUGGUUGAAUAGUAUAAUCUAACGGGUGAAAAUGAUCAAAGGCAUAGAUCUAAUGGUAAAAAAUUUAUAAGCACCAAAUACUUGCACUUUCACAAGCAUCAUAACUAAACUCUCUCUCUAUAUAUAUAUCUUCUAAAUCUUUUCUAUUAAAAAAAAAAAAU